Molecule: ribosomal RNA, 497 nt
Filed under: uncultured bacterium
Lineage: Bacteria
Description: partial 16S ribosomal RNA
Rfam family: Bacterial small subunit ribosomal RNA
Source: RNAcentral
GACGAACGCUGGCGGCGUGCCUAAUACAUGCAAGUAGAACGCUGAAACUUGGUGCUUGCACCGAGCGGAUGAGUUGCGAACGGGUGAGUAACGCGUAGGUAACCUGCCUGGUAGCGGGGGAUAACUAUUGGAAACGAUAGCUAAUACCGCAUAAGAGUAGAUGUUGCAUGACAUUUGCUUAAAAGGUGCAAUUGCACCACUACCAGAUGGACCUGCGUUGUAUUAGCUAGUUGGUGGGGUAACGGCUCACCAAGGCGACGAUACAUAGCCGACCUGAGAGGGUGAUCGGCCACACUGGGACUGAGACACGGCCCAGACUCCUACGGGAGGCAGCAGUAGGGAAUCUUCGGCAAUGGACGGAAGUCUGACCGAGCAACGCCGCGUGAGUGAAGAAGGGUGUCGGAUCGUAAAGCUCUGUUGUAAGAGAAGAACGAGUGUGAGAGUGGAAAGUUCACACUGUGACGGUAGCUUACCAGAAAGGGACGGCUAACUACGUG